This 1439-nucleotide ribosomal RNA is filed under the name uncultured organism. RNAcentral describes it as "16S ribosomal RNA". It matches the Rfam family "Bacterial small subunit ribosomal RNA". The record is from RNAcentral.
CAGGCUUAACACAUGCAAGUCGAGGGGCAGCAUGGUCUUAGCUUGCUAAGGCCGAUGGCGACCGGCGCACGGGUGAGUAACACGUAUCCAACCUGCCGUCUACUCUUGGACAGCCUUCUGAAAGGAAGAUUAAUACAAGAUGGCAUCAUGAGUCCGCAUGUUCACAUGAUUAAAGGUAUUCCGGUAGACGAUGGGGAUGCGUUCCAUUAGAUAGUAGGCGGGGUAACGGCCCACCUAGUCUUCGAUGGAUAGGGGUUCUGAGAGGAAGGUCCCCCACAUUGGAACUGAGACACGGUCCAAACUCCUACGGGAGGCAGCAGUGAGGAAUAUUGGUCAAUGGGCGAGAGCCUGAACCAGCCAAGUAGCGUGAAGGAUGACUGCCCUAUGGGUUGUAAACUUCUUUUAUAAAGGAAUAAAGUCGGGUAUGGAUACCCGUUUGCAUGUACUUUAUGAAUAAGGAUCGGCUAACUCCGUGCCAGCAGCCGCGGUAAUACGGAGGAUCCGAGCGUUAUCCGGAUUUAUUGGGUUUAAAGGGAGCGUAGAUGGAUGUUUAAGUCAGUUGUGAAAGUUUGCGGCUCAACCGUAAAAUUGCAGUUGAUACUGGAUAUCUUGAGUGCAGUUGAGGCAGGCGGAAUUCGUGGUGUAGCGGUGAAAUGCUUAGAUAUCACGAAGAACUCCGAUUGCGAAGGCAGCCUGCUAAGCUGCAACUGACAUUGAGGCUCGAAAGUGUGGGUAUCAAACAGGAUUAGAUACCCUGGUAGUCCACACGGUAAACGAUGAAUACUCGCUGUUUGCGAUAUACGGCAAGCGGCCAAGCGAAAGCGUUAAGUAUUCCACCUGGGGAGUACGCCGGCAACGGUGAAACUCAAAGGAAUUGACGGGGGCCCGUACAAGCGGAGGAACAUGUGGUUUAAUUCGAUGAUACGCGAGGAACCUUACCCGGGCUUAAAUUGCAGAUGAAUUACGGUGAAAGCCGUAAGCCGCAAGGCAUCUGUGAAGGUGCUGCAUGGUUGUCGUCAGCUCGUGCCGUGAGGUGUCGGCUUAAGUGCCAUAACGAGCGCAACCCUUGUUGUCAGUUACUAACAGGUUCCGCUGAGGACUCUGACAAGACUGCCAUCGUAAGAUGUGAGGAAGGUGGGGAUGACGUCAAAUCAGCACGGCCCUUACGUCCGGGGCUACACACGUGUUACAAUGGGGGGUACAGAGGGCCGCUACCACGCGAGUGGAUGCCAAUCCCCAAAACCUCUCUCAGUUCGGACUGGAGUCUGCAACCCGACUCCACGAAGCUGGAUUCGCUAGUAAUCGCGCAUCAGCCACGGCGCGGUGAAUACGUUCCCGGGCCUUGUACACACCGCCCGUCAAGCCAUGGGAGCCGGGGGUACCUGAAGUGCGUAACCGCGAGGAGCGCCCUAGGGUAAAACUGGUGACUGGGGCUAAGU